Oncorhynchus mykiss (rainbow trout) is the source of this 2388-nucleotide long non-coding RNA. The record is from Ensembl. Lineage: Eukaryota; Metazoa; Chordata; Actinopteri; Salmoniformes; Salmonidae.
GUUAUAUAUAGCCUUGUUCUCAGUGUGGGGCACUCUGUGGAAUCCAUUCUGGAACAUGUGAAAUGUAAUAGACCCCGCAUCACCACACGCCGCCCCCCCUCCCCGCUCGGACAGCUGACACUGCCUCAUGCGAGAUCAGUUCUUCCUGAGUCAUGUGGGGUUAAGUUAAAGUGGCUUCCUCCUCUCUGCUCCUUCCCUUCCCCCUUCCUCCUCUCAACUCCUUUUCCUCCUUCUUCCUUCUCUCCACUCCUUCCCUUUCACCUUCCUCCUCUCCACUGCUUCCCUUCCUCCUCUUUACCUUCCCAUUCUCCUCUCCAUUCCAUCCAACUUCCUCCUCUCCACUCCUUCCCUUCCUCCAUUCUCCUCUCCACUCCUUCCCGUCCUCCUUCCUCCUCUCCACUCCUUCCCUUUCUCCAUUCUCCUCUCCACUCCUUCCCUUCCUCCUUCCUCCUCUCCACUCCUUCCCUUCCUCCUUCCUCCUCUUCACUUCAUCCCUUCCACCUUCCUCCUCUCCAAUCCUUCCACCUUCCUCCUCUCCACUCCUUCCCUACCUCCUUCCCCCUCUCCACUCCUUCUCUCCCACCUUCCUCCUCUCCACUCCUUCCCUUUCACCUUCCUCAUCUCCACUCCUUCCCUUUCACCUUCCGCAUCUCCACUCCUUCCCUUUCCCCUCUCCACUCCUUCCCUUCCACUUUCCUCCUCUCCACUCCUUCACUUCCUCCUUCCUCCUCUCCAAUCUUUCCACCUUCCUCCUCUCCACUCCUUCCCUUCCACCUUCCUCCUCUCCAAUCCUUCCAGCUUCCUCCUCUCCACUACUUCACUUCCUCCAUUCUCCUCUCCACUCCUUCCCUUCCACCUUCCUCCUCUCCACUCCUUCCCUACCUCCUUCCUCCUCUCCACUCCUUCCCUUCUACCUUCCUCUCUCCACUCCUUCCCUUUCACCUUCCUCAUCUCCACUCCUUCCCUUCCCCCUCGCCACUCCUUCCCUUCCACCUUCCUGCUCUCCUCUCCACUCCUUCCCUUCCUACUUCCUUCUCUCCACUCCUUCCCUUCCACCUUCCUCCUCUCCACUCCUUCCCUUCCACCUUUCCCCUCUCCACUCCUUCCCUUCCAUCUUCCUCCUCUCCACACCUUCUCUUCAUCCUUCCCCCUCUCCACUCCUUCCCUUCCUCCAUUCUCCUCUCCACUACUUCCUUACCACCUUCCUCCUCUCCACUCCUUCCCUUCCACCUUCCUCCUCUCCAAUCCUUCCAGCUUCCUCCUCUCCACUACUUCACUUCCUCCAUUCUCCUCUCCACUCCUUCCCUUCCACCUUCCUCCUCUCCACUCCUUCCCUACCUCCUUCCCCCUCUCCACUCCUUCUCUCCCACCUUCCUCCUCUCCACUCCUUCCCUUCUUCCUUCCUCCUCUCCACACCUUCUCUUCCACCUUCCCCCUCUCCACUCCUUCCCUUCCACCUUCCUCCUCUCCACUCCUUCCACCUGCCUCCUCUCCACUCCUUCCCUUCCACCUUCCUCCUCUCCACUCCUUCCCUUCAUCCUUCCCCCUCUCCACUCCUUCCCUUCCACCUUCCUCCUCUCCACUCCUUCCACCUGCCUCCUCUCCACUCCUUCCCUUCCACCUUCCUCCUCUCCACUCCUUCCCUUCCACCUUCCCCUCUCCACUCCUUCCCUUCCAUCUUCAUCCUCUCCACACCUUCUCUUCCACUUUCCCCCUCUCCACUCCUUCCCUUCCACCUUCCUCCUCUCCACUCCUUCCACCUGCCUCCUCUCCACUCCUUCCCUUCCACCUUCCUCCUCUCCACUCCUUCCCUUCCACCUUUCCCCUCUCCACUCCUUCCCUUCCAUCUUCCUCCUCUCCACACCUUCUCUUCAUCCUUCCCCCUCUCCACACCUUCCCUUCCUCCAUUCUCCUCUCCACUCCUUCCCUACCCCCUUCCUUCUCUCAACUCCUUCCCUUCCACCUUCCUCCUCUCCACUCCUUCCACCUUCUUCCUCUCUACCUUCCCUUCCUCCUCUCCACUCCUUCCCUUCAUCCGUUCCACUCUUUCCCUUCCAACAACCUCCUCUCCUCUCCACUCCUUCCCUUCCUCCUCCCUCCUCUCUACCUUCCCUUCCUCCUCUCCAUUCCUUCCCUUCCUCCUUUCUCCACUCCUUCCCUCCACCUUCCUCCUCUCCACUCCUUCCCUUCCACAUUCCUACUCUCCACCCCUUCUCUACCCCCUCUCCACUCCUUCAAUUUCUCCUCUCCACUCCUUCUACCUUCCUUCCUCCUCUAAACUCCUUCCACCUUCCUUCUCUCCACUCUUUCCCUUCCUCCUUUCUCCUCUCUGCUCCUUCCCUUCCCCCUUCCUCCUCACCACUCCUUAUACCUUCCUUCCUCCUCUAA